Molecule: ribosomal RNA, 488 nt
Filed under: uncultured bacterium
Lineage: Bacteria
Description: partial 16S ribosomal RNA
Rfam family: Bacterial small subunit ribosomal RNA
Source: RNAcentral
UUGCACGCUGGCGGCAUGCUUUACACAUGCAAGUCGGACGGCAGCACAGAGAAGCUUGCUUCUUGGGUGGCGAGUGGCGAACGGGUGAGUAAUAUAUCGGAACGUACCGAGUAAUGGGGGAUAACUAAUCGAAAGAUUAGCUAAUACCGCAUAUUCUCUGAGGAGGAAAGCAGGGGACCUUCGGGCCUUGCGUUAUUCGAGCGGCCGAUAUCUGAUUAGCUAGUUGGUGGGGUAAAGGCCUACCAAGGCGACGAUCAGUAGCGGGUCUGAGAGGAUGAUCCGCCACACUGGGACUGAGACACGGCCCAGACUCCUACGGGAGGCAGCAGUGGGGAAUUUUGGACAAUGGGCGCAAGCCUGAUCCAGCCAUGCCGCGUGUCUGAAGAAGGCCUUCGGGUUGUAAAGGACUUUUGUCAGGGAAGAAAAGGCUGUUGCUAAUAUCGACAGCUGAUGACGGUACCUGAAGAAUAAGCACCGGCUAACUACGU